UGGUGGAGCGAUUUGUCUGGUUAAUUCCGAUAACGAACGAGACUCUAGCCUACUAAAUAGACUACCAGUCCUUUGUACUGGUAGGACUUCUUAGAGGGACAGGCGGCGACUCAGCCGCACGAAACAGAGCAAUAACA
RNAcentral lists this ribosomal RNA (137 nucleotides) under uncultured eukaryote. RNAcentral describes it as "partial 18S ribosomal RNA". It matches the Rfam family "Eukaryotic small subunit ribosomal RNA", at positions 1299 to 1458 of the family's 1831-position model. The record is from RNAcentral.